AGUGAACGCUGGCGGUAGGCCUAACACAUGCAAGUCGAACGGCAGCACAGUAAGAGCUUGCUCUUACGGGUGGCGAGUGGCGGACGGGUGAGGAAUACAUCGGAAUCUACUUUUUCGUGGGGGAUAACGUAGGGAAACUUACGCUAAUACCGCAUACGACCUACGGGUGAAAGCAGGGGAUCUUCGGACCUUGCGCGAUUGAAUGAGCCGAUGUCGGAUUAGCUAGUUGGCGGGGUAAAGGCCCACCAAGGCGACGAUCCGUAGCUGGUCUGAGAGGAUGAUCAGCCACACUGGAACUGAGACACGGUCCAGACUCCUACGGGAGGCAGCAGUGGGGAAUAUUGGACAGUGGGCGCAAGCCUGAUCCAGCCAUACCGCGUGGGUGAAGAGGGCCUUCGGGUUGUAAAGCCCUUUUGUUGGGAAAGAAAAGCAGCAGGUUAAUACCCCGCUGUUCUGACGGUACCCAAAGAAUAAGCACCGGCUAACUUCGU
RNAcentral lists this ribosomal RNA (491 nucleotides) under uncultured bacterium. RNAcentral's name for it is "partial 16S ribosomal RNA". It matches the Rfam family "Bacterial small subunit ribosomal RNA", at positions 29 to 506 of the family's 1533-position model. The record is from RNAcentral.